GAGAACCAAGGGUUCACCUAUGUGAACCUGUGGGGAUAUCUCUCACCUAAAUAGCAUGUGUUAUCCUUCUAUAUACUGACAUUUUGGUGUGAGAACAUACAUUUAUUGUGUUGGCUAAGAAAACGGAAUACCAGAUACAUAAUCUUUGAUGAAAGAAAAAGAAGAAGGAAGAUGAUCAUUAUACUAUCCAUGUGACAAGGCUGCGUAAGGAUUGGCCAAGAUCUUCAAUGGGAAAGGACUCAGCAUCCUGCCCUUGACCUUCUCAGAAGCUGAGCUGGAAAGUUCACUAAAGAAGGGCACAAUGUUACAUGAGAAAGAGCAUUUUGCAACUAUCUGAAACCGGGAUCUAUGUGAAAAGGAACAGCAGACAUGAGAAUGGCUCGGGUUCAUCCUGUUGAGCUGUCUGUUCUGGGAUGAGAUAAAAGCUCACAGGGUCUCAGAGACAAUACAUAUCCUAAAACAAUUUAUGGUGCCAUGGAUUAGAGUUGUAGAGUUCACAUGGAAAAAUACAAUUGAGGAAAACCAAAAAUACAAUUCUUCAGAACCAAAUUGAAGAAAAACCAACAAACUGGAAGCUACAGAAGAAAUGUUACUUGAAGAGAAACCAUAGGUCCAGAAAGAGCCUUUCUCUACUGGUGUGCACACCCUAAAGUUACCUACAACAAAGAACACGAAAGAGUUAACUCCUUGCAAAGCUAUGGUCUGUUACUCACUGGUUUCGGAAAUAAUGUUGUGAAAAUGUCCCUUAGACAUGUGUUUUAGUGGAGAUAUUUUUGGAGCAGAAGAUCCUGUGAGGGAAAACGAGGCAAUCGCAGGACUUAAGGGACUCAUGGGACAAAAAGCAGGUAAGGAUUUGGAAGACACUUACGUGGUGGAGCUGACAGUGAGUAUGAGUGUCAGGGUGUUGGUGGUUGUAGAAUUUACUGGAUUACAUGUAGAUAUGCUUCUAGGCUGUCUUUAUAUAAACUCUGAAUCUUUGGGCCAAUCUCAAUCUCAUCACUUCCAGCCUCCCUUCCCCUCUCCCUAGGUAAUUAAUGAUUUUAACAUUUUGGUGCCUUUCACAGUUUUUUUUCCCCUUCAAAGUCAGACUCUCCUUUACAUACUAACAUUAGGCGUUUGGUAAAAAUGAUCCAACCUGAACACAUCUUCUUGUUAAGAAGAAUAGCUAUUGCAAUUAUUUUUGCAUGAAUACGAAAUGUGUCAU
This is a long non-coding RNA of Myodes glareolus (Bank vole), 1204 nucleotides long. RefSeq lists it as uncharacterized. NCBI's taxonomy places the organism in Eukaryota, Metazoa, Chordata, Mammalia, Rodentia, Cricetidae. The record is from RefSeq and is a predicted model, not a curated record.